This 20-nucleotide non-coding RNA is filed under the name Arabidopsis thaliana (thale cress). The record is from RNAcentral. RNAcentral also lists the same sequence under 2 other names. Lineage: Eukaryota; Viridiplantae; Streptophyta; Magnoliopsida; Brassicales; Brassicaceae.
GGGGAAUCCGACUGUUUAAU